CCUACGGGUGGCAGCAGUGGGGGAUAUUGCACAAUGGGGGAAACCCUGAUGCAGCGACGCCGCGUGUGGGAAGACGGUCCUCUGGAUUGUAAACCACUGUCCCCAGGGACGAAGAUGACGGUACCUGGGGUGGAAGCUCCGGCGAACUACGUGCCAGCAGCCGCGGUACAACGUAGGGGGCGGGCGUUGUCCGGAAUUACUGGGGGUAAAGGGAGCGUAGGCGGGACUGCAGGUUGGGGGGCAAGUCUACCGUCUCAACGGGUAGCCGCACGCAAAACUGGAGUGCUUGAGUGAAGUAGAGGCAGGCGGAAUUCCUAGUGUAGCGGUGAAAGGCGUAGAUAUUAGGAGGAACACCAGUGGCGAAGGCGGCCUGCUGGGCUUAUACUGACGCUGAGGCUCGAAAGUGUGGGGAGCAAACAGGAUUAGAUACCCCGGUAGUC
This 440-nucleotide ribosomal RNA is filed under the name uncultured bacterium. RNAcentral describes it as "partial 16S ribosomal RNA". It matches the Rfam family "Bacterial small subunit ribosomal RNA", at positions 338 to 795 of the family's 1533-position model. The record is from RNAcentral.